This 460-nucleotide ribosomal RNA is filed under the name uncultured bacterium. Its description in RNAcentral is "partial 16S ribosomal RNA". It matches the Rfam family "Bacterial small subunit ribosomal RNA", at positions 338 to 795 of the family's 1533-position model. The record is from RNAcentral.
CCUACGGGAGGCAGCAGUGAGGAAUAUUGGUCAAUGGACGAGAGUCUGAACCAGCCAAGUAGCGUGAAGGAUGACUGCCCUAUGGGUUGUAAACUUCUUUUAUAUGGGAAUAAAAUGUUCCACGUGUGGGAUUUUGUAUGUACCAUAUGAAUAAGGAUCGGCUAAAUCCGUGCCAGCAGCCGCGGUAAUACGGAGGAUCCGAGUGUUAUCCGGAUUUAUUGGGUUUAAAGGGAGCGUAGGUGGAUUGUUAAGUCAGUUGUGAAAGUUUGCGGCUCAACCGUAAAAUUGCAGUUGAAACUGGCAGUCUUGAGUACAGUAGAGGUGGGCGGAAUUCGUGGUGUAGCGGUGAAAUGCUUAGAUAUCACGAAGAACUCCGAUUGCGAAGGCAGUUCACUGGACUGCAACUGACACUGAGGCUCGAAAGUGUGGGUAUCAAACAGGAUUAGAUACCCUUGUAGUC